AUACAGAGGGUGCAAGCGUUAAUCGGAAUUACUGGGCGUAAAGCGCGCGUAGGCGGUUUGGUCAGUCGGAUGUGAAAGCCCCAGGCUCAACCUGGGAAUGGCAUUCGAUACUGCCUGACUAGAGUAUGGUAGAGGGAAGUGGAAUUUCCGGUGUAGCGGUGAAAUGCGUAGAUAUCGGAAGGAACACCAGUGGCGAAGGCGACUUCCUGGGCCAAUACUGACGCUAAGGUGCGAAAGCGUGGGGAGCAAACAGGAUUAGAUACCCUGGUAGUCC
Molecule: ribosomal RNA, 274 nt
Filed under: uncultured bacterium
Lineage: Bacteria
Description: partial 16S ribosomal RNA
Rfam family: Bacterial small subunit ribosomal RNA
Source: RNAcentral